CCGACCAAUCAUAUGCUCGCAGGAAACGCUGCGUUCUCGAAAUGGUAAAUCUCGAGUUCAAGUUGAGGACCGGAUAAAGAAAUUACAUUCAGGAACAAGAAUUGGCAACGUCACUUUUUAUUUUUAGAUAACUAGUAUUUAACUUUUGCUAUUCUUAUCUAACAUGAGCUACCAUAAGGGAUAUGAACGUGUAGUUUCCCAACAAGCCUUUCAUUCUAAUAGUCAUACCAUAUUCUUGAUAUUCAACAGAUGCACAACCUUUGGCAGGGGAAAAAAACUCAGUUGAGAGAGUACAAGUAAGAGAUAAUGAAUGCCACCAGACAAUAAUUUAGACUGAGACAAGAUGAGCUAGCCAGCUAGGAAAAGACUCGUCGCAAGGUGAAGACUCGUCGCAAGGAGAAGACUCGUCGCAAGGAGAAGACUCGUCGCAAGGUGAAGACUCGUGGCAAGGUGAAGACUCGUCGCAAGGAGAAGACUCGUCGCAAGGAGAAGACUCGUCGCAAGGUCGCAAGAAGACUCGUCGCAAGGAGAAGACUCUUCGCAAGGUCGCAAGGAGAAGACUUGUCGCAAGGAGAAGACUCGUCGCAAGGAGAAGACUCGUCGCAAGGUGAAGACUCGUCGCAAGGAGAAGACUCGUCGCAAGGAGAAGACUCGUCGCAAGGUGAAGAAUCGUCGCAAGGUGAAGACUCGUCGCAAGGAGGAGACUCGUCGCAAGGAGAAGACUCGUCGCAAGGUGAAGACUCGUCGCAAGGUGAAGACUCGUCGCAAGGUGAAGACUCUACGCAAGGAGAAGACUCUACGCAAGGAGAAGACUCUACGCAAGGAGAAGACUCUACGCAAGGGGAAGACUCUACGCAAGGAGAAGACUCUACGCAAGGAGAAGACUCUACGCAAGGAGAAGACUCUACGCAAGGGGAAGACUAUACGCAAGGAGAAGACUCUACGCAAGGAGAAGACUACACAAGGAGAUGACUCGACACGAGAGGAUUCGACAGGUAGGUAAUUGACACAAGGAGGAGACUCGUCGCAAGGACAGGACUCGUCGCAAGCACAUGACUCGUUAGAUAGUCUUCUCCUUGUGUAGAUUACCUAACGGAGAGGACGCGAAAGGUAGGUAAUCGACACAAGUAGAAGAAUCGUCGCAAGGACAGGAGUCGACAUAAGGAGAGGACUCGACAGGUAGGUAAUUGACACAAGGAGAAGACUCGUCGCAAGGACAGGACCCGACAUAAGGAGAGGACUCGACAGGUAGGUAAUCAACAAGUAGAAGAAUCGUCACAAGGACAGGACUCGUCACAAGGAGAGGAUUUGACAGGUAAGUUAUUGACACAAGGAGGAGACUCGUUGCAAGGACAGGACUCGUCGCAAGCACAGGACUCGUCAGAUAAGUAAUCGACACAAGGAGAAGACUUGUCGCAAGGAGAAGACUACACGGAGAGAACUCGACACGAGAGGACUCGACAGGUAGGUAAUUGACACAAGGAGAAGACUCGUCGCAAGGACAGGUCUCGUCACAAGGAGAGGAUUCGACAGGUAGGUUUUUGACACGAGGAGACUUGUUGCAAGGACAGGACUCGUCGCAAGCACAGGACUCGUCAGAUAGUCUUCUCCUUGUGUAGAUUACCUAUCUGACGAGUCCUGUGCUUGCGAUGAGUCCUGUCCUUGCAAUGAGUCUUCUCCUUGUGUUGAUGACCUAACGGAGAGAACUCGACACGAGGACUCGACUGGUUUGUAAUCAACACAAAGAGAAGACUCGUCGCAAGGUGAAUACUCGUCGCAAGGUGAAGACUCGUCGCAAGGUGAAGACUCGUCGCAAGGAGAAGACUCUACGCAAGGAGAAGACCCGACUGGUAGGUAAUCCACACAAGAAGACUCGUCGCAAGGAGAGGACUCGACAGGUAGGUAAUCAACACAAGGAGCAGACUCGUCGCAUGGAGAAGAUUCUACGCAAGGAGAAGAUUCUACGCAAGGAGAAGACUCUACGCAAGGAGAAGACUCUACGCAAGGAGAAGACUCUAGGCAAGGACAGGAAUCGACACAAGGAGAGGACUCGACAGGUAGGUAAUCGACACAAGUAGAAAGCUCUUCACAAGGACAGGACUCGACAUAAGGAGAGGACUCGACAGGUAGGUUAUUGACACGAGGAGACUCGUUGCAAGGACAGGACUCGUCAGAUAGUCCUCUCCUUGUUUAGAUUACCUAACGGAGAGAACUCGACACGAGGACUCGACUGGUAGGUAAUCCACACAAGACUCGUCACAAGGAGAGGACGCGACACGUAGGUAAUCUACACAAGGAGAAGACUCUACGCAAGGAGAAGACUCUACGCAAGGAGAACACUCUACGCAAGGAAAAGACUCUACGCAAGGAAAAGACUCUACGCAAGGAGAAGACUCUACGCAAGGAGAAGACUCUACGCAAGGAGAAGACUCUACGCAAGGACAGGAAUGGACACUAGGAGAGGACUCAACAGGUAGGUAAUCGACACAAGGAGAUGACUCGACGCAAGAGGACUCGACAGGUAGGUAAUCGACACAAGGAGAAGACUCGUCGCAAGGAGAAGACUCGUCGCAAGGAGGAGACUCAACACAAGGAGAAGACUCAUCUCUUAGAUAUCAUUCUCACACCAAACUGAUACAAACUGACACCACAUCCACUUUUUCCAAUUAAUUUAGAAGCCAACUAUCACUGACAUGUGUAGGCCUAUGUGAGGCGAUCCCAAAUCCCGAGUUUCGGCUCGAUAGGUCAUUUGGAGCCCGAGCAGCGACCUUAAUUGGUGCUGAAAAUGCACAUUUUCCGGCGUUGCUACGGGGUCCUUGAAUGAGAUAUCGGACAGAAACGUUGGGGUCAGUCUCUAUGGGCCAAGGCGGUUUCAAUGCACCUAGUCUUGCGACUCUGGGACUUUUCUAAAUGUCGUCAUUUUCAUGUCAAAAUGAUUUUAAGUUAUUGCAAAUGUACGAGGCUGUUUCUCGGUCUGAGGCACUUCCGGUUGGCACAGGAAGCUUAAAGUAAACACAUAUCCUCAUUGGGUUGGGCUUUUACAGAAUCCUAGGUUUAAAGUCUUUAUGUUAAGAAUUGACUGAUUUACACAGGGUUGAAUGCAGUGUUUAUCAUAAUCUUCAGGUUGUUUAUAUCAAAACACCUUUAGGGGGAAUUUAAUCAACACAGGUAGAGCUCAUAGUGGCCUGAUGGACUAUCAUUGAAGACAGGUUCAUAAGACAUUCAUAACCCACAUAGGCUUCAGGUUGAAUUUAGGGGAGCAGGUCAUGUAUUCCUAUGGGGAGAGAAGUCAUUGCAAACUGUUUGAUGUAAACACCUUCUUUUAACUGUUAAGGGUUAAUGCCACACGGUCAAGGUUAGGCUUGCACAGAUCGGGAGGACCUUAGGAGCACCCCUGCGGUUGACUUUUCCUUCUCACCCUAACGGCUACGCCGCUGUCCCCCAGGAGCACCUGAAAUUUAGGGCCAGGCUUCAUUUUGGGCCUACUUUUUUGAACGGUCGCUGCGCUCAGACCGAGUGAGCUACGGUCAAGUGGGGCAUCUCGUUGAACUCUGCACGGCCUAGAGACUAGGUUGAUGCCAUUUGUUUCCCUGUCUGUGAUGAUUUCAGCCUGUCUGUGUAAGUUUCUAGUACAACUUGUGCUUCCAGAACAGCAGGAAUACAGACUACAGCAGGUCUUUAUUGUUUAUUUCACUUUUGUUUAUUAUCUACUUCACUUGCUUAUGUUAACGUAUGUUUCCCAUGCCAAUUUUUAACAACCGUGAAGGACAGUAAACACAGUGAAGGUUCAACACUUACAAAUUAAGUGACGCAGACCAAAUCCAAACCUUAAAAAAAGCACAACACAAAGAAUUACUCAAAUAAUAAUUUAAUUAAACAUCACAAAUACAAACAAAAUCACAAAUACAAACCUUGACAUUAUAAAGAAUCACACCGAAAUAGAAAAUAGAACAAGACAGUUAAAGAGUAAAUUACACACUAUUCACACUUUCGAAAUCUGUACAAGCACACACACCAAAAUAGAAAACCACACCAAACAAAAUCAGAACAGUGUAAGACGGUCUUUAACAGUCUGCGGGAAGAGGAAGUCUCAUUGUUGGUUGGCUCCCCUUCCUUCUAGCUGCAUCGGGGCUCCCCUUCCGUCUAGCUGCAUCGGGGCUCCCCUUCCGUCUAGCUGCAUCGGGGCUCCCCUUCCGUUUAGCUACAUCGGGGCUCCCCUUCCUUCUAGCUGCAUCGGGGCUCCCCUUCCGUCUAGCUGCAUCGGGGCUCCCCUUCCGUCUAGCUGCAUCGGGGCUCCCCUUCCGUCUAGCUGCAUCGGGGCUCCCCUUCCGUCUAGCUGCAUCGGGGCUCCCCUUCCGUCUAGCUGCAUCGGGGCUCCCCUCUUUCCUUGUUUGCCUUCUCCUGCAGCUUUCUCCUCCUUGAGGCAAUGGCUUUUUUGAGUCUGACUGUUUGAAUUCAACUGAAAAUAAGAAUUUGUUCUUAACUGACUUGCCUAGUUAAAUAAAGGUAAAAUAUAUAACUAGGCAAGUCAGUUAAGAACAAAUUCUUAUUUUCAAUGACGGCCUAGGAACAGUGGGUUAACUGCCUGUUCAUGGGCAGAACGGCAGAUUUGUACCUUGUCAGCUCGGGGGUUUGAACUUGCAACCUGACGGUUACUAGUCCAACGCUCUAACCACUAGGCUACCCUGCCGCUCUAAUGUGACAAUGGGGGAGUUGAGGGCCGACUUGCUCUUCACUUCGAGGGGUAAGACAAGCAGGGGGCUGACGGUCAGCACCAUGCGGCGCCUGAGGAUCGUCUGCUUCCUCUUUUGGGUCUCCACAAUAUCCAAAUCGGUCUCAAGUGGGAUGGCAGGGAUCGAUGCCCUCAAUGCCGCCAGCCUCUCCAUCGUCAGCCGUCUCCUAAGGUCCUCUAAAACCCGUCUCCUCUGUGUGGGAGUCUAUAUGCCGGUCUGCUGAGAUGUGUGGAGCGUCCUGUCACUGGACAAUGCUACCGCCUGACAUUGACACGGCCCGACUGCCAAUUACAAAGGGAGCAACCCUGUUCCUCACAUGGCUGAAGCCAAUCACAACCUUAUAGCAAAGUGGACAUGAGCGCACUGGAGCCAUCUAUACUGUUCUAUACUAUUGAAAAGUGAAAUAAGAGUAAAUGAGUAAAAAACACAAUCCCUGAAAGAACAAUGCUUCAGGCUGCUUAAUAGAUACUUGUAAACACACGAGACCACUCCUCACCACUCUAGAAUCUCCUCUUCAUCACUCCCUGAACUCCUCUUAAUAGAUACUUAUAAACACACAUGAGACCAUUCUAGAAUCUUUCCCUGAACUCUUCCUCUGCUUGUCAGCAAAAAGUGAAAAGCAGUCUAUCAGAAAAGAUCACUCUUCUCAUUAAAAACACUCCCCCAAGUUGACCUCGGCACAGUCUAGAGAUUAUGGUAAUGCCAUUGCAGGCUCUGUGUGUCUUUAAGCACCGCACUGUGUCACUCCAUCCUUGAUGUGUGUGUGAGAGAGAUUUUCUUUUUACAUCUGUUGGGGGAAAUGACUGAUUUACAGUUCAUGAGGGUUGCCUAAUAACACAUAUGAAGUUUUGAAAAGAUCUGACCUUUUUAACCCUUCAAAACAGCCUCUAUGACCCCAAUUUAAGGCACUUCCGGUUGACACAGGAAGUUGAAAGUGAACACAUUUCCUCCUUGGGGUUGGCUCUUACCGAAUUUUGAGUUUUAAGUCUUUACGUUAAUUCUUUGGGCUGAAAUCCAGUUAACGGAAUUGAUAUGACAAAACAAACUACGAGUUGUAGUAGCCUAUUCAAUUGGCCCAGCGUUGUCCAGGUUUGGCCGGUGUAUGCCGUCAUUGUAAAUAAGAAUUUGUUGACUAG
Long non-coding RNA from Oncorhynchus nerka (sockeye salmon), 5869 nucleotides. RefSeq lists it as uncharacterized. The record is from RefSeq and is a predicted model, not a curated record. NCBI's taxonomy places the organism in Eukaryota, Metazoa, Chordata, Actinopteri, Salmoniformes, Salmonidae. The transcript has 3 exons.